This 479-nucleotide ribosomal RNA is filed under the name uncultured bacterium. RNAcentral's name for it is "bacterial SSU rRNA". It matches the Rfam family "Bacterial small subunit ribosomal RNA", at positions 364 to 833 of the family's 1533-position model. The record is from RNAcentral.
UUUCGCAAUGCCCGAAAGGGUGACGAAGCGACGCCGCGUGUGGGAAGAAGGCCUUCGGGUUGUAAACCACUGUCGGGAGUUAGGAAAUGCAAGGGUGUUAAUAGCGUCUUUACUUGACUAAGGCUCCGGAGGAAGCCACGGCUAACUCUGUGCCAGCAGCCGCGGUAAUACAGAGGCGGCAAGCGUUGUUCGGAAUUAUUGGGCGUAAAGAGCACGUAGGCGGCCUUGUAAGUCAGUUGUGAAAGCCUUCUGCUUAACGGAAGAACAGCAGCUGAUACUGCAAGGCUAGAGUGCGGAAGGGGAGAGUGGAACUUCUGGUGGAGCGGUGAAAUGCGUAGAUAUCAGAAGGAACACCGGCGGCGAAGGCGACUCUCUGGUCCGUAACUGACGCUGAGUGUGCGAAAGCUAGGGGAGCAAACGGGAUUAGAUACCCCGGUAGUCCUAGCCGUAAACGAUGGGCACUAAGUAGAGGGGUUUUA